Non-coding RNA from Schizosaccharomyces pombe (fission yeast), 1116 nucleotides. The record is from the annotation of a GenBank genome assembly. Lineage: Eukaryota; Fungi; Ascomycota; Schizosaccharomycetes; Schizosaccharomycetales; Schizosaccharomycetaceae.
CUACAAACUCUUUUUGAAAAUUAACAAUCUCAUUGAACAUUUCAGAACUCCUUGAUGGAUGAGUCCAAGCGAAUAAUUCAACUUUUGUGAACUCGUGUAAACGGUAUAAACCUCUGUUUUCUUUUCCACGAGCUCCCGCUUCUCUUCGAUAGGCACGAGAAACUCCAACAACUUUCCGUUCGGUGAAAUUAUUAAACGUUUUCUUAAAUCCAAGAGCUGCAAGACUAAUUUCCGCAGUCCCAAUAAGGCACUGUUUAGGAGAGCUUACAAGGGGGGAAGUAUAGGAAUCUAACUCGUAAAUCUGCUGACCUUCUUCAUCACGAGGUUGAAACCCACAAGCUAGAGCUAUAUCGGUGCGGACAAUCGUAGGAGGAAUGACAGGACACCAUCCUUUUGAUAUAGCAAAAUCCAUUGCAUAGUUUGUUAUAGCCAUUUCUAACAGAGCAAUGUCACCCGUUGUAUAGCAAAACGAAUGACCACUCGCUUGAGCAGCAUCUUCUAGGUUGAUCCCUUCAUUUGCAAUCUGUAAAUGAUCCUUCAAAGAACCCGUUUUUUUCACUAAAGGACUACCUAUUUUUUGUACAACAACGGCCUUAUCUUCAGGACCCACAGGUACCGUUGGCAAAGUAGUAUUCGGAACUGCCAGACAAUACUGGUAUAAAUCAUUGGUAACCUUUGAAAUAAUUUUGUUAUACUCUUCCGUUUUCUUUUUUAAACCCUUAGCUUCAUUAACUAGUUUCCCUCUUUCAUUCGGAUCACUACAUCGUUCAAUUUGGAGAGUAAUCUCCUUUUUUAGAGAGAGUAAGGGAAAAAAUUCAUUCUUUAAUGAUUCCUUUUCAUCAAUUAGUGAUCUGAUUUUGGGAACUGUCUCUGCUAUAGCUUGCAAAUUUCGAUUAAUACAAUUUCUUUGUACUGCUUCAGCAUUCUGAUAGAUGUACUUGUAAUUCAAAAUCGCCUGCCAAGAACUUCUUAAAUAACUAGUGUGCGUAGAAAAUGUCCUUAAAUACAACAAUUGACUCAUAAAUAUGAAGCCUUUUUUCUUGGACGGGAGGGCAUUUCCCAGGAAAGUGGAAAACCGACGAUUAGUCAAUCGCAUCAGAAAUUCGAUUGGGCAGU